RNAcentral lists this ribosomal RNA (255 nucleotides) under uncultured bacterium. RNAcentral's name for it is "partial 16S ribosomal RNA". It matches the Rfam family "Bacterial small subunit ribosomal RNA", at positions 524 to 776 of the family's 1533-position model. The record is from RNAcentral.
UACGGGGGGGGCAAGCGUUGUUCGGAAUUACUGGGCGUAAAGGGCUCGUAGGUGGCCAACUAAGUCAGACGUGAAAUCCCUCAGCUUAACUGGGGAACUGCGUCUGAUACUGGAUGGCUUGAGUUUGGGAGAGGGAUGCGGAAUUCCAGGUGUAGCGGUGAAAUGACGUAGAUAUCUGGAGGAACACCGGUGGCGAAGGCGGCGAUCCUGGACCAACACUGACACUGAUGAGCGAAAGCCAGGGGAGCAAACGGG